GACGGAGGGGGCUAGCGUUGUUCGGAAUGACUGGGCGUAAAGGGCGCGUAGGCGGCCGAUCAAGUCAGGCGUGAAAGCCUCAGGCUUAACCUGAGAACUGCGCUUGAUACUGGUUGGCUAGAGAACGAGAGAGGAAAGCGGAAUUCCGAGUGUAGAGGUGAAAUUCGUAGAUAUUCGGAGGAACAUCAGAGGCGAAGGCGGCUUUCUGGCUCGUUACUGACGCUGAGGCGCGAAAGCGUGGGGAGCAAACAGG
This 253-nucleotide ribosomal RNA is filed under the name uncultured bacterium. RNAcentral describes it as "partial 16S ribosomal RNA". It matches the Rfam family "Bacterial small subunit ribosomal RNA", at positions 524 to 776 of the family's 1533-position model. The record is from RNAcentral.